GAAGAGUUUGAUCAUGGCUCAGAUUGAACGCUGGCGGCAGGCCUAACACAUGCAAGUCGAACGGUAACAGGAAGCAGCUUGCUGCUUCGCUGACGAGUGGCGGACGGGUGAGUAAUGUCUGGGAAACUGCCUGAUGGAGGGGGAUAACUACUGGAAACGGUGGCUAAUACCGCAUAACGUCGCAAGACCAAAGAGGGGGACCUUCGGGCCUCUUGCCAUCAGAUGUGCCCAGAUGGGAUUAGCUUGUUGGUGAGGUAACGGCUCACCAAGGCGACGAUCCCUAGCUGGUCUGAGAGGAUGACCAGCCACACUGGAACUGAGACACGGUCCAGACUCCUACGGGAGGCAGCAGUGGGGAAUAUUGCACAAUGGGCGCAAGCCUGAUGCAGCCAUGCCGCGUGUAUGAAGAAGGCCUUCGGGUUGUAAAGUACUUUCAGCGGGGAGGAAGGUGUUGUGGUUAAUAACCGCAGCAAUUGACGUUACCCGCAGAAGAAGCACCGGCUAACUCCGUGCCAGCAGCCGCGGUAAUACGGAGGGUGCAAGCGUUAAUCGGAAUUACUGGGCGUAAAGCGCACGCAGGCGGUCUGUCAAGUCGGAUGUGAAAUCCCCGGGCUCAACCUGGGAACUGCAUUCGAAACUGGCAGGCUUGAGUCUUGUAGAGGGGGGUAGAAUUCCAGGUGUAGCGGUGAAAUGCGUAGAGAUCUGGAGGAAUACCGGUGGCGAAGGCGGCCCCCUGGACAAAGACUGACGCUCAGGUGCGAAAGCGUGGGGAGCAAACAGGAUUAGAUACCCUGGUAGUCCACGCCGUAAACGAUGUCUACUUGGAGGUUGUGCCCUUGAGGCGUGGCUUCCGGAGCUAACGCGUUAAGUAGACCGCCUGGGGAGUACGGCCGCAAGGUUAAAACUCAAAUGAAUUGACGGGGGCCCGCACAAGCGGUGGAGCAUGUGGUUUAAUUCGAUGCAACGCGAAGAACCUUACCUGGUCUUGACAUCCACGGAAGUUUUCAGAGAUGAGAAUGUGCCUUCGGGAACCGUGAGACAGGUGCUGCAUGGCUGUCGUCAGCUCGUGUUGUGAAAUGUUGGGUUAAGUCCCGCAACGAGCGCAACCCUUAUCCUUUGUUGCCAGCGGUUAGGCCGGGAACUCAAAGGAGACUGCCAGUGAUAAACUGGAGGAAGGUGGGGAUGACGUCAAGUCAUCAUGGCCCUUACGACCAGGGCUACACACGUGCUACAAUGGCGCAUACAAAGAGAAGCGACCUCGCGAGAGCAAGCGGACCUCAUAAAGUGCGUCGUAGUCCGGAUUGGAGUCUGCAACUCGACUCCAUGAAGUCGGAAUCGCUAGUAAUCGUGGAUCAGAAUGCCACGGUGAAUACGUUCCCGGGCCUUGUACACACCGCCCGUCACACCAUGGGAGUGGGUUGCAAAAGAAGUAGGUAGCUUAACCUUCGGGAGGGCGCUUACCACUUUGUGAUUCAUGACUGGGGUGAAGUCGUAACAAGGUAACCGUAGGGGAACCUGCGGUUGGAUCACCUCCUUACCUUAAAGAAGC
RNAcentral lists this ribosomal RNA (1549 nucleotides) under Salmonella enterica subsp. enterica serovar Agama. RNAcentral describes it as "bacterial SSU rRNA". It matches the Rfam family "Bacterial small subunit ribosomal RNA". The record is from RNAcentral. Lineage: Bacteria; Pseudomonadati; Pseudomonadota; Gammaproteobacteria; Enterobacterales; Enterobacteriaceae.